AUCCUACACCUGUCUGAUUUAAUGAUUCUGUUUAAAAUUAAGUUUCCAUAUUUCCAUAAAAAGAAGACCUGAUUUGUUUCACUCAUUCAUUUUCUACCACUUUAUCCUCCACUUGAGGGUCACGGGGCUGCUGGAGCCAAUCCUAGCUGACUGCAUUCUGAGAUCAUGCAUGAUUGUCAGGAUGGAUGAGAAGACCAUCAUCGUGAUUGGCCCCAUGGGAAGUGAGGCGCUCAUUGGAGAAAAUUGCUGAAGACUGAGAAGAAAUGUCUCUUAAGGAGCAGUGGAGAACACAGACGGUGCCACACAAAGAUCAGCAGGAUGGCUCUACUGUCGCUGUGGUGUUUUGACUUUGAAGAACACUACCUGACAGGCAGGAGCAUCAACCUAGUUGAGAGCGCAACCAUGCAGACGUCGCAGCUGCGAGACGUCACAUCGCAACCACUCCUCUGUCAUGCAAGGUUAACCAUUAUAACGUAAACCUGCAACUAUUUUAUUUGUUCUAAAUAAUGUAAUAUAUUCAAGUAAAGUCUCGCAGCAAAUACCUCUAAGAAAAACUUGAUUUUCCAACCUUUUCUUCUCCGAGGUUGAAGACGACUGUGUUUCGUGCAACAUGCAACUGUACGUCCAUGACGUCACAUUAUACUGUAUAUAUGUGACAUAGUGUAUGUGAAAACCGGAUGUCAAUAUCCUUAGAAAUCAGCUUGAUUAAUUGCUUCACAUUAUUAGUAGUUGCUCAUGAAGUGAAGCAUGAACACAAUCAAUUACAAAUCAUGUUCAAUCCUUUUUGUUUAUGACGGUCAAAAUGAGGCACACCAAUAACACAGAGUCUUUAAAACAAUAAAUAUUAGAAGCUCUCCUCACUGUACACAUCUUAGUUGUCCUUGUGGGAGCCUGUCGCACUCGUCUGCUCGCCUGCUGAAGAACUGACACAGUGGUGAAGGUUAAUACUCAGAAAAGAUUGUUAUUGUCAUUGCAACGCACACGGUUGUACAUAAAUAGUAAAUAAGACUUAAAUAAUUUAAUUGAAAAUACUAUUUACUAAAGAUAGCUCUGAGGAAGAAACUGUUUCUCAGUCUUGUUGUACAGGAACAGUUGGUCAGCAGUGGUAAUCAAUGUCUAAGCUAGUACUAACAACAAGCACUUACCUGGUUAACCACAUGGACUUGUCAGUGGCAGCAUCCAGCAUGGGCUGCCGUCUGGCGAUGCCGGCUGUGAUGCUAACGUUUCCCAGUGUGGAUCCAUGCAGCUGUGAGACAAGCAAAGAGAAGUCCUCUUCAUACACAGACCACAUGAAAACACUUCAGUGGUGCUUUUCCACCAUACAGUUCCAGCACGGCUCGACCCUACAUGGUUUGGUAU
Long non-coding RNA from Solea senegalensis (Senegalese sole), 1359 nucleotides. RefSeq lists it as uncharacterized. The transcript is spliced from 4 exons. NCBI's taxonomy places the organism in Eukaryota, Metazoa, Chordata, Actinopteri, Pleuronectiformes, Soleidae. The record is from RefSeq and is a predicted model, not a curated record.